AAACUUGAGAGUUUGAUCAUGGCUCAGAAUGAACGCUGGCGGCACGCUUAACACAUGCAAGUCGAACGAGAUCUUCGGAUCUAGUGGCAGACGGGUGAGUAACGCGUGGGAACCUGCCCUUUAGUAGAGAAUAACUCGGGGAAACUCGAGCUAAUACUUUAUACGCCCUUUGGGGGAAAGCUUUAUGCGCUAUUGGAUGGGCCCGCGUUAGAUUAGUUUGUUGGUGAGGUAACGGCUCACCAAGGCUACGAUCUAUAGCUGGUCUGAGAGGAUGAUCAGCCACACUGGGACUGAGACACGGCCCAGACUCCUACGGGAGGCAGCAGUGGGGAAUAUUGGACAAUGGGGGCAACCCUGAUCCAGCGAUGCCGCGU
This 374-nucleotide ribosomal RNA is filed under the name Candidatus Pelagibacterales bacterium. Its description in RNAcentral is "bacterial SSU rRNA". It matches the Rfam family "Bacterial small subunit ribosomal RNA", at positions 1 to 402 of the family's 1533-position model. The record is from RNAcentral. Lineage: Bacteria; Pseudomonadati; Pseudomonadota; Alphaproteobacteria; Candidatus Pelagibacterales.